Populus nigra (black poplar) is the source of this 1404-nucleotide long non-coding RNA. RefSeq lists it as uncharacterized. The transcript is spliced from 2 exons. The record is from RefSeq and is a predicted model, not a curated record. Lineage: Eukaryota; Viridiplantae; Streptophyta; Magnoliopsida; Malpighiales; Salicaceae.
GAAGCCCGCAAUUGAAGUUGAAGGCACAAAAAUCAGUCUGAGAUGGGGGGUCAAUUUUACAGGGGCUUGAGGAUGACUUGUGCUCUGCCACUCAUGACCCAGCUACCUGUAAGGUGCACCGACCCAUUCAUAAAAACAUGACCAAGAUGUAGCUCCAUACAUCUACAAGUAGGUCGGCCUUAAACUCAAAGCAAAAAUGGUUCAAGCAGUGGUUGAAAAGUCUCUGUCCAGAUGAUCAAAGAUUAUGCGUUACUCCCUAUCUCUCUUAUCUAUUGUGAUUAUAAUGUAUUAUAAUCUCUUGGGAAACAUAAAUUUCCUCAUUUGUAUUUGAUUUUAAGAUUAAAAUUAGUAUUUUUUUUUCAGGUAGGAUUUGACAGCUCUCCUUUCCCUUAUUUUUAAAGCUUCACAGUUAUGUCUACCUGAUGACAAAAUCUCCACAGCAACCAUCAACAUAGGAACAAAAAAAAAGUUUGCUGCAACCGACACAUUUGAUCCCUUUCUUUGAUGAUACUUGUACAAGUGGCAACAUGUUCAACAUAAAUUAGUACAGCAACCUUAGCUUAAAGUCGAGCCAGUUGGAGAUGAUGUUUAAAAUCAACAUAAAAUGGGUUCUUCCCAAAUGUUAAGCCAUGGCAGGUCAAGACUCAAGGUACAAAGAUCAUGUCAUGUCAGAAACCACCAAGUGUAAGAGCUUUGGGUGCAUUUGAAGUCAACAUUUCGACCAGAAACCAAUGGUGAAUAGGAAGACUUUGUCUCUUACGACACAAGCUACACUGCCAAUACCUCAACAUGGAUAUGGUAUAAGUUAUCCGGCAGGCUUCAAUUCUCAAAGAAUAUAUAUAGUUUCUUUUCUUGUUUUGUUCUGGUUUUACAGUCAGAUGGUAUAAUCAAAUUGGUAUUUCAAAGAAUGUUGAAGCAGCACCAUCCCUUGAAGAUUACUUGUUACAGUCCAUUUCAGUCCUUAAUUUUUUAUAAUUGAAACUCCCAUAACCAAAUAUUUGAAGCUUUGAGCAGCUGGAAUUUCUAUUUCAAAAGGAAGAAUUCAGCUAUGCUUAAGGUCAACCAAUCAAGUAUAGCACUGCACAUAAGUAACAACUAUGACGUAGAAUCUGAUUACUGAUCAGCAUCCGCCAUGGCUUGGACUUGAGCUGCGUACUGCAAGUUCCAGAGGACAUCCUCGAAAGAUGGACGAGUUGAUGGUUCAGGAGAUAUGCAUUUACUCGUGAUGGAAACCAAAAUUGAUAAUGACUCCUGUGAGCAAGUAGUUAAGACAAUUGGAUCCACAAUUUUUCUUCGACCAUCCUGGCUUCCAAAGGAUGCCUGACAUAUGUAACACCAGAUCUCAGAGAUAUGUCAUCAAAACAAAUUAAAAACAAAAUAAAGGUAAGAAUUCAUAGGACUUAA